Molecule: ribosomal RNA, 208 nt
Filed under: uncultured bacterium
Lineage: Bacteria
Description: partial 16S ribosomal RNA
Rfam family: Bacterial small subunit ribosomal RNA
Source: RNAcentral
UACGGAGGGGGCUAGCGUUGUUCGGAAUUACUGGGCGUAAAGCGCGCGUAGGCGGACCUGCAAGUCGGGGGUGAAAGCCCGAGGCUCAACCUCGGAACUGCCUUCGAUACUGCGGGUCUCGAGUCCGGGAGAGGUGAGUGGAAUUCCUAGUGUUAGAGGUGAAAAUUGUAGAUAUUAGGAAGAACACCAAGUGGCGAAGGGCGGCUAC